Bubalus bubalis (water buffalo) is the source of this 886-nucleotide long non-coding RNA. RefSeq lists it as uncharacterized. The record is from RefSeq and is a predicted model, not a curated record. The transcript has 2 exons. NCBI's taxonomy places the organism in Eukaryota, Metazoa, Chordata, Mammalia, Artiodactyla, Bovidae.
GUCCAUGGGGUCACCAAGAAUUGGACAUGAUUGAACAACUAAACAACAACAAAAAUCAAAGGAACCCCACAUUGGGAGAACUUCUGGUCCCAUACAACUUUGAGCCUCUCCUGAUAAAUAGCCCAGCAGGUGUCUCAGCACUUUGAGUUACAUGCGGUUUGCCCAUCUGUCCAGCGUGAGUGACCCAAAGAGCAGAAGGACGGGCCUUGGUUCUCAGUGUAUGGUCUUGGCAAUUUCUUGGCCCUUGUCCAAGUCACCAGACACAAUCUCCAUCAUUACCAUUAACAACAGUGGGUUAAAAUGCAGCCAUUACAACUCAUCUAUGCCAGCGCCUGAGUUGAUGAGUUGAUGAGAGGAGGACAGAAAGGGGAAAUCUAAAGGCAAGGUGCGGUGGGGGCGGGAGACAGCUUCUCCUUUUCUGCCCUUUCUCCAAAAACUUCCCUAGUUUUAUUUCCCAUUUGCUCAGCCAUGUAUUCUCACACUCUCCUUUACUUGAGAACUGACUGUUAGAUAUGCACAAGAGAAGAACAUGAAGGCCUCCAGAUAAAGUAGACAUGGAAUCAACACAGGGUCCCAGUCGUUUUCUUUGACGGGGCUUUACCAGGCUGGAUGGAAGAAGAAAAGACCGCCAGGAAAGCGGGAGUUAUAAAUCAGCUCUGUGCUCUUCCGAGGAUUUAUAUUCAACUGAAGACGUGUCCAAUGCAGGACCUUAUGGCUUUCUGCUUUCUUUUUGCUUACACGGAGAAAUAACAGUUAAUAUAGUCAACUAUCCCAAGGCAGAAGAGUAUUAUUAAAAAAAGAAUACUUUGCAACAUUAUUGAUUUCUCAAGUCACUGUCAGAUAUUUUAAGAUUUGGAUUUAAUAAAGCAUAAUAUGAUUUCUUUUA